This 383-nucleotide ribosomal RNA is filed under the name uncultured eukaryote. RNAcentral's name for it is "partial 18S ribosomal RNA". It matches the Rfam family "Eukaryotic small subunit ribosomal RNA", at positions 592 to 976 of the family's 1831-position model. The record is from RNAcentral.
CAAUAGCGUAUAUUAAAGUUGUUGCAGUUAAAAAGCUCGUAGUUGGAUUUCUGGUGGGAGCGAUCGGUCUGGCGCUUAGCGCGAGUACUUGCUUCGUCUCCGGCCAUCCUUGGGGAGAGUCUGUCUGGCAUUAAGUUGUCGGGCAGAGGAUCCUCAUCGUUUACUGUGAAAAAAUUAGAGUGUUCAAAGCAGGCUUACGCCGUUGAAUAUAUUAGCAUGGAAUAAUAAGAUAGGACUUUGGUACUAUUUUGUUGGUUUGCGCACCAAAGUAAUGAUUAAUAGGGACAGUUGGGGGUAUUCGUAUUCCGUUGUCAGAGGUGAAAUUCUUGGAUUUACGGAAGACGAACUACUGCGAAAGCAUUUACCAAGGAUGUUUUCAUUAA